UUGCUUCCGCAGCAUGCAUACUAAGAUUGGAACAAUGUGGAGAUUAGCAUGGCCCCUGUGCAAGGAUGACACACAAAUUUGUGAAGCAUUCCAGAUUUUU
Molecule: small nuclear RNA, 100 nt
Organism: Jaculus jaculus (lesser Egyptian jerboa)
Lineage: Eukaryota; Metazoa; Chordata; Mammalia; Rodentia; Dipodidae
Source: Ensembl